This 242-nucleotide long non-coding RNA is filed under the name Medicago truncatula (barrel medic). RNAcentral describes it as "long non-coding RNA (MTRU_LNC004108)". Lineage: Eukaryota; Viridiplantae; Streptophyta; Magnoliopsida; Fabales; Fabaceae. The record is from RNAcentral.
GAAUUUAAAAUGGCAAGGUUGAAAUAGAAGAAUGAAAGACAUGAAACGCUCUAGUAAAAUAAAUUUGAAAUAAUAGUGGUGAUUAAUUAGGUUAUUAGGAUAAAGAAAUGUAUAGCACCGCUAGGAUCUUUUAGAGAGAGAUUAGUGUUUAUUUUUUUUGGUUUUGAGCAGCAGAGAGUAGGAAUUGUUUUUGGUCUCUUCUUAACUGUGUAUUAUCGAUAGGGGAAUUAUUAGAGACAUAC